Molecule: ribosomal RNA, 467 nt
Filed under: uncultured bacterium
Lineage: Bacteria
Description: partial 16S ribosomal RNA
Rfam family: Bacterial small subunit ribosomal RNA
Source: RNAcentral
ACGAACGCUUGCGGCGUGCUUCACACAUGCAAGUCGAACGGAAAGGCCCUGCUUUUGUGGGGUGCUCGAGUGGCGAACGGGGGAGGAACACGUGAGUAACCUGCCCUUGACUUUGGGAUAACGUCAGGAAACGGGGGCUAAUACCGGAUAGGAGCUCCUGCUGCAUGGUGGGGGUUGGAAAGUUUCGGCGGUUGGGGAUGGACUCGCGGCUUAUCAGCUUGUUGGUGGGGUAGUGGCUUACCAAGGCUUUGACGGGUAGCCGGCCUGAGAGGGUGAACGGCCACAUUGGGACUGAGAUACGGCCCAGACUCCUACGGGAGGCAGCAGGGGGGAAUAUUGCACAAUGGGCGGAAGCCUGAUGAAGCGACGCCGCGUGCGGGAUGACGGCCUUCGGGUUGUAAACCGCUUUAGCCUGUGACGAAGCGUGAGUGACGGUAAUGGGUAAAGAAGCACCGGCUAACUACGUG